AACAAGGUUUCCGUAGGUGAACCUGCGGAAGGAUCAUUACCGAGUUCCGGGCCCCAGUGGCCCGAUCUACUCCAAAACCCUUCAGUAAACUGUACAGUCUGAUCAGAUAUUCAAUAUCUUAAAACUUUCAACAACGGAUCUCUUGGUUCUGGCAUCGAUGAAGAACGCAGCGAAAUGCGAUAAGUAAUGUGAAUUGCAGAAUUCAGUGAAUCAUCGAAUCUUUGAACGCACAUUGCGCCCCUCGGCAUUCCGGGGGGCAUGCCUGUUCGAGCGUCAUUACAACCCUCAAGCUCUGCUUGGUAUUGGGCGUCGUCCUUCAUCGGGCGUGCCUCAAAGGCCUCGGCGGCGGCUUUCCAGCCUCAAGCGUAGUAACACAAUUCUCGCUUUGGAGGGUGGGCGGUCGCCCGCCGGACGAACCUUCUAAUACACAUUUCAAGGUUGACCUCGGAUCAGGUAGGGAUACCCGCUGAACUUAAGCAUAUCAAUAAGCGGAGGA
RNAcentral lists this ribosomal RNA (496 nucleotides) under Kellermania anomala. RNAcentral's name for it is "eukaryotic LSU rRNA". The stretch from base 123 to 276 matches the Rfam family "5.8S ribosomal RNA". The record is from RNAcentral. Lineage: Eukaryota; Fungi; Ascomycota; Dothideomycetes; Botryosphaeriales; Planistromellaceae.